This 252-nucleotide ribosomal RNA is filed under the name uncultured bacterium. Its description in RNAcentral is "partial 16S ribosomal RNA". It matches the Rfam family "Bacterial small subunit ribosomal RNA", at positions 524 to 776 of the family's 1533-position model. The record is from RNAcentral.
UACGUAGGGGGCAAGCGUUGUCCGGAUUUAUUGGGCGUAAAGAGCGUGUAGGCGCCAGACAGGUCCGUUGUGAAAACUAGAGGCUUAACCUCUAGACGUCGAUGGAAACCGUCUGGCUAGAGUCCGGAAGAGGAGAAUGGAAUUCCUGGUGUAGCGGUGAAAUGCGUAGAUAUCUGGAGGAACACCGGUGGCGAAGGCGGCAUCCUGGACCGGUAUUGACGCUGAGGCGCGAAAGCCAGGGGAGCAAACGGG